AUGAAGCCGGAAUUGCUAGUAAUGGCAGGUCAGCAUACUGCCGUGAAUACGUUCCCGGGCCUUGUACACACCGCCCGUCACACCAUGAGAGUUGGGAAUACCCGAAGCCUGUGAGCUAACCUUUAGAGGCAGCAGUCGAAGGUAGAAUCAAUGAUUGGGGUGAAGUCGUAACAAGGUAGC
This 180-nucleotide ribosomal RNA is filed under the name uncultured bacterium. RNAcentral describes it as "partial 16S ribosomal RNA". It matches the Rfam family "Bacterial small subunit ribosomal RNA", at positions 1320 to 1500 of the family's 1533-position model. The record is from RNAcentral.